RNA transcript from Salvia splendens (bonfire salvia), 3039 nucleotides. RefSeq lists it as uncharacterized. Lineage: Eukaryota; Viridiplantae; Streptophyta; Magnoliopsida; Lamiales; Lamiaceae. The transcript is spliced from 15 exons. The record is from RefSeq and is a predicted model, not a curated record.
UGUGAUGCUGGAACUGUAGUUUGUUGGGAACUCUGCAGAGGUCAAAUCUUCAAUUUCUUGGCUUGUUGUAUUAGGGAUGUACUCGUAGAAAUUAAUAGGGUUGUUCUAAAUGUUACUGUUUAUGUUACAGAUAUUGUUAUUGGUAUUUAUACUUCGGAAUGCACAUGUUGGAAUUACAUGAUUAUUGCAGGUUGACAUGGAAAAAUAUGCAAGGAAUCUUCCUCGUCACCUUAUUGCAGUGAUUAUGGAUUGGGAAAUGGACAAAUCCACAUUCAAGUAUUUGCUAUGUGGAAUUCUUCUCUUGCAUUCCAUGAUUCAUCUUGCCUCUCGAGUGCCCAAAAUUGAACAGAUAUUGCUUGAUGAUGUGAAGAUAUCAGAGCAACUGAUUGACCUGGUCUUCUAUCUGCUAGUUCUACUUGGUCCAUACAGACAUGAAUCUCACACCAUACCCAAUGGCAUGGUUCUUCUUCAUUCGGCUCUGGUAGUUUGUAUUAUAAAAUUGUUUCUCCACACUACCAAGAGGUUGCUCAAGCAUUGAAUGCAUAUUACAAGGUAGCAAUCCAGGAUUUGGUGAAAACUAAGAACAUUAAAUUACUUGUUUAAUGGUGGACAUAUUCAUAGAGGCAGAAUUUGCUGCUGUUUGUGUAGAUGUCAAGUUUCUGCAGACCAACGAUUCAUCUGGAAGUGCUUUCCCUACUACUGAAGAGACCUUGAAUCACCUCUGCCAGAGUGUGAUUCUUCUCUUCAAUUUCUACAGUCCUUGUGUCAGCAAAAGUUGUUCCUGGAAUGCAUUGUGAAGAACAAGAUUUUAUCCUUUCAUCUGAUUAGAGUUUUCACUGCCUGAAAGCAUUGACAUUUCUUUAAAAUGUCAAAUGUGGUGAAUACAUGUUUCUGCUCCAGGGAACUUAAGCUGGAAUUUCUAUUUUGCAUACAUGUUUCUGCUCCGGGACUUCAUUUAUUUCUGUCCAAGUGAGAUAGUAAGAGAUUCCAUAAUCAGCUUGAUUUGCUUAUGUGGCUGCAGCUUUAUCUGAUGCAUGUUGAUCUGUUGCACCUUUGUGAAGCUGAAAGUGUAUCCUACCUGGAAGAGGUGGCCAGCAAAACAUCAACUCAGGAUGUGGCAAAGUCUGUUGGACUCAAGGUUCUUGCGUUGCUAAAAAAAAUGUUUAAUGCUCCCUCUGAGGCAAGCUACCCGAAGGGGCAACUGGAACUUAAUGCAAUGCGCUUGGCAGAUGUCUUGUCAGAUGAUUCAAAUUUUCUGUCAUUCAUCAUGAUAAACUUUAUGAGAAGGAUCUGUCAACAAGUUCGUUCGGUUCAUAUGGAAGGACUAUCAGAAACUGUCAGAUGGAUUCUUCUCUCUACUUCAAAGCUGACAAAGUAUCCACAAUUAGCAAGAACUUAUGUUCAUUAUUAAGUCAUGAUUUUUGAAUGAAGAUGAUGUACAACUGCUGAGGUAAUUUCAAUGACUAGCUUCCUAUAUUGAACUCUCGGCCCAGAUGAAAAAAAGAGUAGCCCAAUGCUACAUAUUUUCUGGCAUAAGCUUCAUAAAAAAGGAGUUUUAAUGCAGAAAAGGAAGGUAGGAAGGUAAGACUAUCUUGUAAAGAUGACAGGAAAGAUGGCACUAUAUAUUUAAAGAAAACAAUGUAAUUGAUCAAUCAAAAUUGAAUAUCGCAAAGUUUCGAAGAUGAUCUAAAUUGAUAGAGUAAUUUUUUUCGUUCUGCUAAAGAUAUACUGGUAGAGAUUUGUUUUCAGCAUUUUGGUAUGUCAGCAGGUAGUUUUACAAGCAAGUAGUUUUCCCAUACGUAUUCGAGGAUUCUGGUAACUCUACCUCAAAUCCUAGUCUUUGAGGAUUCUGGCUUCAGCAUCAGAAGCUCAGGACUAGAUAUCUUUUUAUUAUAAAUAACUUGUCCACUGCAAAUGUUGAGGCUAAAGCUAAAGAGUUUAUUGAAAUUUUGAAUUUUAUACUAUCCGUCCAUGUUUGGAACAGGCUCCAGCAUCAGAAGCUCAGGACUAGAUAUCUGGUUUGCGUUGUAUAUAGUUAUGGAGAGGGAGAGAUUUAGCUUGACACUACAUUCCUUACCUUAAAUAGUUCUCUGGAUGCAAUUUACCUUUGGAGUUACUCUUUCUGUUUGGCAUUUUGAAAUAUUUGAAAUAAAAUUGAAACAUUUGAACAGAGAUAUUGUGCAAGCCAUUUAUGUAAACUGCAAGGUUUGAUUUUUCUACUUACUUUAUUCAUUUUGGAAAGCCGGUUUUUAUUCUUGGUAUUUGUACUAUGUCUAGGUUCUGUUUUAAACAGAACUUGUAAAAUCUAGUGUGGAAGAACUAUCACUGCUGAAAAUUUAGGAAGCUGGCUUGGGAAGAUUACUAUUGGAAAAAAUCAAGUUCUAAGGGAACAAGUGAUAGAUUCUUCUUUUCGUCUGUUUUGUUUUUGAGUUUACUUCAUAAACUUGGAGUUGGGUUGUCUGAAAUCCUCAUGUUGCAAUAAAUAUUAUUAUCUCAUCUUCUUGAUUCAAAUUUUUUUCUGACACAUGGAAGUAUAUUAUUUGUUGAAUGCUUUUAAGGGACUCAGGAUGCCUGUUAAUCCUUUUACCUCAAAGAUUUUCAAAGCCUGUUCAAACAGCAUUGCAUACGGGCCUCCUCACCGUUGAGCAGUGGUUCUGUUUAAGCAUUUAAGUGUUGACCUCAAGGAUGUCACACCCUCUUCUCUUCUAAAGGAUGUAGUUUGACAAUUUGAAGGAUCAGUCAUUAAGCAUCAACUUGUUACUCACCUUAUGCCUGGGCAUUGCUUUACGAGCUAUUUCAGUUGCUCAUACUGAACCUGAUGUUGGCCAUAGUUCCAAUACUAAUCACCGACCCAGUCUUAUUCAAUCUUCUGCUCCACAGAUUGAGAUUGCAGGCCCACCAUUUUCUCUGAUCGGACCCGGCAGCAUAUUGUCUGGAUUAGCAAUUCCCUCUUUGAUCCCACUACAACAGAGACCACCAAGUUCUCUAGAUGAGAGUGGACUCCUAAUUUCAUGAAGCCAACACAAUACACCUACCCUU